Molecule: ribosomal RNA, 253 nt
Filed under: uncultured bacterium
Lineage: Bacteria
Description: partial 16S ribosomal RNA
Rfam family: Bacterial small subunit ribosomal RNA
Source: RNAcentral
UACGUAGGGGGCAAGCGUUGUCCGGAAUCAUUGGGCGUAAAGCGCGUGUAGGCGGCUUGGUAAGUCCGCUCUGAAAGCCCGGGGCUCAACCCCGGGAGGCGGGUGGAUACUGUCAAGCUCGAGUCCGGAAGAGGCGAGUGGAAUUCCUGGUGUAGCGGUGAAAUGCGUAGAUAUCGGAAGGAACAUCAGUGGCGAAAGCGACUUCCUGGACCAAUACUGACGCUCAUGUGCGAAAGCGUGGGGAGCAAACAGG